UGAAUAUGUAGCUAAUAUACAAGCAAGUUUGUCGCCGCGGCGUUCAUAGCUGGAAAACAGUGUGUCUGUUGUGCUUCUUCUCCCUCUUGCCAAUAGCGUUGGCGUGUGUGUUUAAGUGGUUCCUGAGAGAAGCGAACAAUUGAUAUUAAAGCCAGAGAAGGUGUCGACCAUAUUGUUGGAGGAGCAUGUCGGCAGGCUGCGCGUGGCGGAGGAGUGCUGCUGCAGAGACAAGGCGGUCACAGAUGACAUCGAGCGUCUACUGCUUAAGGAGGAGAAGUCGGAGGCGCGUCGAUGUCAUCAACACCGCAGCAAGGAGCGCUCGAGCGAAGGCAGCGACAAAGAGCGGUCUCCUUGCUGCGGCGUUGACGACAUCAAUGCACCUCCGACUGCUCUUCCAUGAGGCCAUCCGUGAUUGCCUUGACUCCGCUGCAGCGCUCUUCCGCCACGCACAGCCUGCUGACAUACUCCUCCAUCAACAUAGUCGACAUCUUCUCCGGCUUUGGUACUAACUGUUGGCUUCGCCCAGAAACCAUUCAAACACACACACACACCAACGCUCUUGGUGAGAUGUAGAAUAAGCACAAUAGACACACUAUUUUUUGGUGAAGCACAAUGACAACAAGGAAGGCACCGACGUCGACGACAAGCCGACGCUCCUGUAGGUUGGGUGUAUGGGAUGUGGAGUGAUUGUUAGAAAUAAUACGCGAGCGUUAUUUUUGGGUCGUGUGUGCCUCCUGGACUCUAGGUUUUAUGCUGGCAAGCAAUGAUGGUGUGCGUGGUUGCCAAGUCAUGCCCAUGAUGCACGAAUGAGCGAGAGGCUCUCGGACGUCGUUGCGUGAGUCAUGUGGAUCAUGGCAUGAAGGCCGGACGUCAAGGUUAGUCCCUGACAAAUCCGUGGCCUAUAUGUAGUCCAUGUUCUUCUCUGUAUUUAAAUCUAUUAGAUAUAUAUAUAUAUAGCCAAGCUAGAGACGAGUUUGUCACCACGGUGUUCGUCAUCAGAAAACAUGUGUCUAUUAUGUUUUUUCUACCAUCCGCCAAGAGUGUUGGCACUUGUGUUUCAGUGGUUCUACACGAAGCCAACAAAAGCACAUUCGAGAGAAUGUCUGUUUACCGGUACUGCAGAAGUGCAGAUGAAAGCCCGGGCAACAGGCUCCUUACAAUUUACAAUAGUGUCGGCGACAAGAUAGCUAGGAAUCCCAAGACACCUGCAGAUUAUAGUACUGUACAACACAACAAGACUACGUUCCAUAAUGGCCGCCUGUUGCAGGUAGACUGUUGAAGCUUCCUUUUUUCAAAAGCAUGUGUCCAAUCCACAUCAGCUCCUAACUCCUAGCCCUCACCAUAUAGUCAAUUUUCCGCACGAUGGCGAUGGGCCAACAACAGCCAUGCCAUGGUACUCAAGAGCCCCCCAUCUUGCUCCUAAUGAACGGGUACAGUGGACCACCAAGAACAAUGCCAUAGUUUUGUGUGCUUCCGAAGCAUGCUUGUUAGUACAGUACAGGUGGUCUAUUCCUUUCUACGAAUUGGACACCUUGCAUUGGAGUGACUUCUGAACAAAAGAGAACAUGUAUCAUCAUUGUUAAGUUGAUUUUUUUAGCUUGCCUUCUAUCCAUUACAUCCUUGAGAGAGACACUUCAAGGGGGUAUUAUGUAUGUAUUCACCUAAACCCUCUUGAAUAUAUAAAAAAAAGGAAAGAAAAGAAGAAAUUAUACAUAUAUCACAUUUUUUUAGAGAAAAGAAUAGUGGAAAAUUGUACAUUAUGAUGGAGAAGCGGGGGUCAGAGGUUGAUCCAUCCUCUGGUGAGAAAACCAAAAUUUUUUCCUUCUUUGCAGCUAGCUAGCAGGACAAUCAACAUCUUAAGGGUGUAGCCAUGCAUGUACAAUGUACACCACUCCGGCCGUCCUCCAGCUCGUCCCUUCUCUUAUAUGGUUCACAUUUCUUUCUAUCUUCUCUUGUUGUGCAUAGAUGGUUGCGACGACGAG
Molecule: long non-coding RNA, 1982 nt
Filed under: Sorghum bicolor (sorghum)
Lineage: Eukaryota; Viridiplantae; Streptophyta; Magnoliopsida; Poales; Poaceae
Description: long non-coding RNA (SBIC_LNC001647)
Source: RNAcentral